RNAcentral lists this long non-coding RNA (236 nucleotides) under Durio zibethinus. Its description in RNAcentral is "long non-coding RNA (DZIB_LNC000900)". Lineage: Eukaryota; Viridiplantae; Streptophyta; Magnoliopsida; Malvales; Malvaceae. The record is from RNAcentral.
AUUUGAGAUUUUACAUGUUUGCUGCCAAUAGCCAUUAAAGUGUCUAAAAUGGAGACACUUUUUUCAAAUGGUCACAAAAUCUUGUACACUUCGAGUUUUUAGCUGAAUUUUUUUGUGCAUGCCAACAAAAAUAAAAGGAUCACCUCUACCAUGUUUGGGGCCAAAAAUCCUUCUGAAAAAAUGUUAAAAAAUUUUGAAAUGCAAAAAGUUUCAAAAAUCGUGAAAAAUAGAAAACG